CCUACGGGAGGCAGCAGUGGGGGAUAUUGCACAAUGGGGGGAACCCUGAUGCAGCGACGCCGCGUGGGUGAAGAAGCGCCUCGGCGCGUAAAGCCCUGUCAGCAGGGAAGAAAAUGACGGUACCUGAAGAAGAAGCCCCGGCUAACUACGUGCCAGCAGCCGCGGGAAUACGUAGGGGGCAAGCGUUAUCCGGAUUUACUGGGUGUAAAGGGGGCGCAGACGGCGAUGCAAGCCAGGAGUGAAAGUCCGGGGCCCAACCCCGGGACUGCUCUUGGAACUGCGUGGCUGGAGUGCAGGAGGGGCAGGCGGAAUUCCUGGUGUAGCGGUGAAAUGCGUAGAUAUCAGGAGGAACACCGGUGGCGAAGGCGGCCUGCUGGACUGCAACUGACGUUGAGGCCCGAAAGCGUGGGGAGCAAACAGGAUUAGAUACCCCGGUAGUC
This 440-nucleotide ribosomal RNA is filed under the name uncultured bacterium. RNAcentral's name for it is "partial 16S ribosomal RNA". It matches the Rfam family "Bacterial small subunit ribosomal RNA", at positions 338 to 795 of the family's 1533-position model. The record is from RNAcentral.